Molecule: ribosomal RNA, 536 nt
Filed under: uncultured bacterium
Lineage: Bacteria
Description: partial 16S ribosomal RNA
Rfam family: Bacterial small subunit ribosomal RNA
Source: RNAcentral
UGGGGAAUAUUGCACAAUGGGCGCAAGCCUGAUGCAGCAACGCCGCGUGAGGGACGACGGCCUUCGGGUUGUAAACCUCUUUUAGUAGGGAAGAAGCGAAAGUGACGGUACCUGCAGAAAAAGCACCGGCUAACUACGUGCCAGCAGCCGCGGUAAUACGUAGGGUGCGAGCGUUGUCCGGAAUUAUUGGGCGUAAAGAGCUCGUAGGCGGUCUGUCGCGUCUGCUGUGAAAACCCGAGGCUCAACCUCGGGCCUGCAGUGGGUACGGGCAGACUAGAGUGCGGUAGGGGAGAAUGGAAUUCCUGGUGUAGCGGUGGAAUGCGCAGAUAUCAGGAGGAACACCGAUGGCGAAGGCAGUUCUCUGGGCCGUAACUGACGCUGAGGAGCGAAAGCGUGGGGAGCGAACAGGAUUAGAUACCCUGGUAGUCCACGCCGUAAACGUUGGGCGCUAGAUGUGGGGACCAUUCCACGGUUUCCGUGUCGCAGCUAACGCAUUAAGCGCCCCGCCUGGGGAGUACGGUCGCAAGAUUAAAACU